Candoia aspera is the source of this 263-nucleotide long non-coding RNA. RefSeq lists it as uncharacterized. The record is from RefSeq and is a predicted model, not a curated record. Lineage: Eukaryota; Metazoa; Chordata; Lepidosauria; Squamata; Candoiidae. The transcript is spliced from 3 exons.
GCCGCCGUCCGGCUGUUAUCUCAGCUGCGCCCAGCGAGUGCGCCUCCAGCUCCGCUCGCCCCUAAUCUCGGCCUUCAAGUGAUUCCUUCAUCUGCGGCUCGGCCCCUUUACGGCUGGCGGUGGGGCAGCGUCACGUGACGGUCCCCCUCCCCCGGAAUGUGUUUCUGGCAAUCUCUCUUUCUCCCUCUCUUCUGUCCCCACCCCCACCCCCCAAGAGUCGGGUAUAGGGAUUUCCUUGUGGUUUCCCAUCCAAAUACAAAUCA